This 76-nucleotide transfer RNA is filed under the name Candidatus Levybacteria bacterium RIFCSPLOWO2_01_FULL_38_21. RNAcentral describes it as "tRNA-Arg". It matches the Rfam family "tRNA". From Rfam's summary of the family: Transfer RNA (tRNA) molecules are approximately 80 nucleotides in length. Their secondary structure includes four short double-helical elements and three loops (D, anti-codon, and T loops). The record is from RNAcentral. Lineage: Bacteria; Candidatus Levyibacteriota.
GCUGGUGUAGCUCAAUGGACAGAGCAACUCCCUUCUAAGGAGUAGGUUGGAGGUUCGAUUCCUCUCACCAGUGCAA